CCAUGGCAGAGGCUGCAAUGCCACACUCAGGCACCUAAAUAAAUGGCCUGUCCUUUCUCAAAUGCUGAAUACCAAGAACUUCUCACUCGAAUCUGCCAAAGCCGUGGCUGUUCAGCUCCUCUGAAAAUCAAUCCACUCGUUUAGAUGCCUGAAUAUGAAUGUUAGUGCCGGACUUUGGACAGUGACAUAGGAAGACAUUGGCCUGAGCCUAUGCAUGGACUCUCAUCCUACAAUCCAGCCCCUCAACAGAUACAUCCCAGCUUCUGACUGUGAGCCAUUCAGCUACAAUGGGGAGGCCUAGAUGCUAGCCCCACAUGAGAGAGGGAAGGAUUUCAGGCCCAAGGCCCAAGUGGGGCAGGAAGAAGCACACGCUCACCUCAGUUGCCUUCUUUGCUGAGGGCGCACUGUCCAGCACGCCGGCAGACAGACCCAGAUCAGAAGGCCUGGAC
This is a long non-coding RNA of Malaclemys terrapin pileata, 449 nucleotides long. RefSeq lists it as uncharacterized. The record is from RefSeq and is a predicted model, not a curated record. The transcript has 3 exons. Lineage: Eukaryota; Metazoa; Chordata; Testudines; Emydidae.